CCUACGGGAGGCAGCAGUAGGGAAUCUUCCACAAUGGGCGAAAGCCUGAUGGAGCAACGCCGCGUGGGUGAAGAAGGUCUUCGGAUCGUAAAACCCUGUUGUUAGAGAAGAAAGUGCGUGAGAGUAACUGUUCACGUGUCGACGGUAUCUAACCAGAAAGCCACGGCUAACUACGUGCCAGCAGCCGCGGUAAUACGUAGGGGGGAAGCGUUAUCCGGAUUUAUUGGGCGUAAAGGGAGCGCAGGCGGUCUUUUAAGUCUGAGGUGAAAGCCUGCGGCUUAACCGGAGUAGCGCAGUGGAAACUGGGAGACUUGAGUGCAGGAGAGGAGAGUGGAAUUCGAUGUGUAGCGGUGAAAUGCGUAGAUAUAUGGAAGAACACCAGUGGCGAAAGCGGCUCUCUGGUCUGUAACUGACGCUGAGGUUCGAAAGCGUGGGUAGCAAACAGGAUUAGAUACCCCUGUAGUC
RNAcentral lists this ribosomal RNA (465 nucleotides) under uncultured bacterium. Its description in RNAcentral is "partial 16S ribosomal RNA". It matches the Rfam family "Bacterial small subunit ribosomal RNA", at positions 338 to 795 of the family's 1533-position model. The record is from RNAcentral.